AGUCAUUGCAGUCUCCUUUCUUCCCCAAUCGCACACUCCCACUCAACAGCAGCCGGUCUCAUUCAUCUCUCCAACGGCGACGAAUGCCGGCGACCCUAGCUUGUUUCCUCUUCGUCUUCGUCGGCGCUAGGGGCGUUCGGAUCUUCGCACCCGUCGCCCUUGUGAGGAGCCUAGGCGUCGUCGCUCGGUCUCCGGGUUUCCCCCCACCGUCGAGUCUUCUCGGGCUGCUAGGUUUCCGUCCAUCUGGUGCUUCGAUUUCCGAAACCUCCUUCAACCUCCCCCUUCCCCCGACGUUCCGAAAUAUAUGAUCUACUCCAUAUCGUGAAGAUGCCGUCAGAGACAACUGAAGUUGAUGCCGCGGUGCGGAGUUCUGUUGAAUGUGCAGUUGGAAAGGUUAUCUCGGCCGCAAAGUCCAUGGGGCCAAAUUCGUCAAGCCCCCAAGCUGAAACCUCCAACUCUUCUACUCAUGUGCAUUCUAUUAUCAAUUCGAUUGUCGAAAAACAUCGUGCCAUCUGGGCCGAAGAGUUUGAAAUAAUUCAACAGAAACGUUUCUCCUUAAUGGCAGCCGACUUUUCUGACGCUAUUUCAUCACUCGUGCGCAACUGCCAGACUGACGUGGAUGCUUCUUUCCAUCAAGUUCGAGACCAGCUAUAUCCUGUUGGUACAACUGAAUAUCAAGUUCCACGUCCUGAUCAAGCUCCUGUCGAUCUGGUCCGAGAUCAGCAGAAUCCUCCUGUUGCAUCUGAAGUUCAGGUUCCAGAGGUUGUUCUAAAUUCAAUGGAUGCUAAAGAAAGUCAAGCCAGAGUGUCGGAUGAUAAUGUACAUGUCUCUCCUGUUCUAAAUUCAAAGGAUGCUCAGGACACUCAAGUGAACGAGAAUGUUGGCACCGAGGGUCUAGUCUCGGGUGAUAUCACACGCGUCUCUCCUGAUCCUAUUGAAGAUCAAUCUCCCAACUUUUCAAGAGGCAUAUGUGCUACUAUCAGCGAUGAUCCUUCUCACUUGGAGAAUGUUGCCGCUCCAACACCUACUGAUGCUAAUCUCACUGGUGGAUCAUUUGUAACACGAACCGUUGAUAGAAACUCAAAACGGAAUCAUGAUGAAACGGGAAACGGAAAUGAUGGGAAAUGGAAAAGAAAAAAGAAAAGAAGCUGUUCAGCAAUCCCACUUUGCAAACCUUCAUCUGAUCUCUCCCUAUCCGAUACCUCCAUGGCCCACAUGUCAGAGGCUGGCGACCCGUUCGAAUUUCUCCCGCUAUCAAUCCUCGCCGACAUCCUCGGCCGCGUCGCUCAUACCAGAGACAUCGCAUCGUGCCGCCUUGCCUCGCGCGAGCUCCUCGCCGCGGCUUACCAGUGCCCACGCAUCCGCCUCGACGCCUCCGGCCGAGCACCCGGUCUUCGGAAGGGUGGGGGAGGGGUCGAGGGCACCGCCUUCCACACACUCGCUGGAAACCUCGCGUCACGCCUCGGGUCGCACCUCCGCUCCCUUGUGAUCAUUGCGCCCGAAGGGCAGGGUUGCCCCGAUGAAGCGGCGUGGGUGGAGGAGGGGGAGUUCGAUGAGCCUGAUGAUCUGCAUGUUACCAGUGGAAACUCCGUGCGGGCGUGGGCUACAACAGCCGCAGGACCUGCCCUCCAGGAGGUGGAGAUCGCUGACUUCUGGCCACAGUCAUGCUGGCGGAAGGCGGAGGCGCUCCCUGUCAUUUCGCACUUCUGUCAUAAUCUGCUCAAACUGGGGCUGAAAAAUGCAUGGCUGUCUGUUGAUGGGCUCGAGAUAAUGCCUAACCUGACCCAUCUGACUCUUGAAUUCAUUAGACUCGAUGACGAGGACCUGAGCAAGCUGAAUGAAUGCUUCCCUUGCCUUCAGGUUCUCAAUCUUAUCAGAGUCGGGGGUCUCAAAAACCCCAAGAUUCACCUCUCUCAAGUAAAGACUUUCCGCUGGAGGUAUCAAAUGCUCCGUGUUCCUUAGCUAUCCAUGCGCCGAAUUUGGUUCAUCUCGAGUUGAAGUGUGUUCAACCAGAUAUCCUCAUUUUAGACACUCCUUCCGUGUCUACUCUGAAGCUGACCAUUGAUAAACUCGGUCCAACUGUCCAAGUUGACGGCCUAGCGAGUUUGAAAAAUCUUCGAAUCGAGUCCUCGGAGCUGAACUCCCUCCUGCAGCUGUUUGCAAGUGAUUGGGAUAUCAGGACAUUAGAUCUUGAGCUACCAGUUUCUGUGGACUGCAUGGACCUUUACUAUGAGGUGAAGCCAGACUACCUUGUCCAAUUGUUCUCCAGAAUCACUGAAGUGAAGCUGUCACCAAGGUUUUCAUGUGCACUGAUGAGCCUCCUAUGCCUCUGUACGAAUCAUGAGUCUGCAGGCCGUUUGGAGAAACUUCUGGUCCAUCUACCGGCAUCGGACAUCACUUCUUGUCCGUUCGUGCCGUUGCUUAGUGUGGGCGCGCCGUCGUGCGAGGUGACUGUUCUUUUCCAUGCUGAUACCAGCGAUGCUGUUCGUCAAGCUGCUGCAUCAGUCUGGCCACCAUUUGUUCGGGGACUCCCAAGGUUUCCGGAGAUCACAUGGCGAUGGGGUACUUGACAGUAACCCUUGUAUCCAUACUUCAUUCGAAGGCUAUCAUGAAUCUCAGAGCUAGCAGUGCCUGCGACACUUCUGUCGACCCAUCACCGUCUUCGACAGUUUCUGAAGCCUGUUGGUUUGGUCAUGGCACAUUUGCUGAUGGCCGGAUGUGUGCCUACUAUGCGCCGUAGCACUGUGGAAAAAUGUUCCAACAUGAAGAACUAUAUAUGGUUGUCUUGCUAGAUUAUGUAGUACUAUUUGUAUGAUGCAUAUGACCUGCUAAACAGUUUCUGAAAAGGACUGUGCUAACGACCAGUCGACUGGUCGUUAGCGACAGAUCCGCACGACUCCCCUCGA
Molecule: ribosomal RNA, 2906 nt
Filed under: Triticum aestivum (bread wheat)
Lineage: Eukaryota; Viridiplantae; Streptophyta; Magnoliopsida; Poales; Poaceae
Description: partial small subunit ribosomal RNA
Source: RNAcentral